Non-coding RNA from Trichobilharzia regenti, 46 nucleotides. Lineage: Eukaryota; Metazoa; Platyhelminthes; Trematoda; Strigeidida; Schistosomatidae. The record is from Rfam.
GUGUUGCCGAAGAGUCCCACACUGGGACGAAACAGAUGUCCAGUAC